UUCAUUAACAGAGAAAUGUUUGAUCCGGCAGAAAAGUACAAAAUGGACCACAGGAGGCGAGGAAUUGCUUUAAUCUUCAAUCAUGAGAGGUUCUUUUGGCACUUAACACUGCCAGAAAGGCGGGGCACCUGUGCAGAUAGAGACAAUCUUACCCGCAGGUUUUCAGAUCUAGGAUUUGAAGUGAAAUGCUUUAAUGAUCUUAAAGCAGAAGAACUACUGCUCAAAAUUCAUGAGGCGUCAACUGUUAGCCACGCAGAUGCCGAUUGCUUUGUGUGUGUCUUCCUGAGCCAUGGCGAAGGCAAUCACAUUUAUGCAUAUGAUGCUAAAAUAGAAAUUCAGACAUUAACUGGCUUGUUCAAAGGAGACAAGUGUCACAGCCUGGUUGGAAAACCCAAGAUAUUUAUCAUUCAGGCAUGUCGGGGAAACCAGCACGAUGUGCCAGUCAUUCCUUUGGAUGUAGUAGAUAAUCAGACAGAGAAGUUGGACACCAACAUAACUGAGGUGGAUGCAGCCUCCGUUUACACGCUGCCUGCUGGAGCUGAC
This 543-nucleotide small RNA is filed under the name Pan troglodytes (chimpanzee). RNAcentral describes it as "retained intron". The record is from RNAcentral. Lineage: Eukaryota; Metazoa; Chordata; Mammalia; Primates; Hominidae.